Long non-coding RNA from Daphnia pulex (common water flea), 1600 nucleotides. RefSeq lists it as uncharacterized. The record is from RefSeq and is a predicted model, not a curated record. The transcript has 5 exons. Lineage: Eukaryota; Metazoa; Arthropoda; Branchiopoda; Diplostraca; Daphniidae.
CUAUUUUUUAUGUUUAUCGUAAUUAGAAUGACAGGGCUAGUGGUGCAGUUGAUGCUGUCGAAAAUUUUAAACGAAAAUAUAAAAAGUUACAUGAAUUGAAUCAACAGAUACAUGAUAGAAAACUGAUAUGCUUUAACUGUAAUUAGGAGGAGGGCCACAUCCGAAGGAAAUUCUCCAAAAUUUGGUCGGAUGAGGCGAAGCCGGGGCCGGAGAAGGCGGUAGGAACAGUAAGAAAAGGGAGGGAGAUGAAGACGUCCCCCUAACUAUGGUCGACACGAAACAGCUGAUUACCAAGGAAAAGAAAAUCGAAACUGGGGGAAACACAAAAAGCGUAAGGGCAGUGGUUGACACAGGCGGUGGCAGCCCUCGUUACAAUAUAUACGGAGAAGUCAUCAAACAAAUCAGCAAUAACGACUUUGUCAACAAAGAUUUAAUUCGAUUCAGCAACAUGGAAUUUGCUGAAUGCUCCAUCGUCAAGGAUUUUCAGAAGAUUUAUGUGGAAAAGAAACAAAAAAAGUCAGUUUUUAUGAUUUUAUUAAAACGGACUUUACAAAAAAGCUGAGCAAACUGCUCACUAUCAACCAGGUUUGUUGAUGAGAACAAUAGUUUUUAUGGCUCAAGACUUCGUAGGCAGCAACAACGUUAAUUUGCUCAUCCCCAAUGGCCAAUUUGGAACUUGGCAUCAGGGAGGUAAAGAUGCUGCUAGUUAUCGUUUAUCUCUAGAAAUAUGAGCAACUUAACACACCGGAUCUUUCACCCACACUAUGCCUUACCGCGCGCACAAAAUAAGGCAUGCGAAUUAAAAAUGAAAUUAAAAAAUUCUAACUCAUGAACGGAUCACGGGAAAAGUUUCAUUGUUUGAUGGGGUUUUCUACACAGGAAAAAUUUAGUGCCGAUGCAAGAGCGUGGAUUUGAUCUGCUGACCAUUAAAAAAAUUUCGCGAAUCAAUUAAGAUUCAUUCUCGAAGUGUGCGACAAAGUCUUCUACUUCAACUUCAAAGAGACUAAUGUUUUUAUGGAGAAGAUGUGUCUAUUUACUUAUUAUUAACAUCUUUGCCGGAACCUUUUUUUUAAUAAAAAAAAAGAUUCCAUCAAAUGAUGCGUAAUUUUUCAUCUUUUUCCAGUUGCUGAUUGUCAAUAGUGUCUCGUCUCUCGUGUCCUUUUUUGCACGGAAGACGUGACCACCACUACAAGAGAAGCAAACAGGGACUGAGCCUGAGAGGGCGCGAGGCUCGCGCCCUCUCAGCAGACAACGAGAUCUAUCUUGAAAUACAGCCUAAACUGGGAAAAAAGAAGAUAAAACAAUCUAAACGCCAGGUUGCAGAAGGUUGCUGGAUGACAUGGACUGUGACUCAUUCGAAGCAAUAGAAAAAUCUGCAGAUGGAGCUGAAUCAGAAAAAUCUUCAGCUGGUUCAACUUCAAAUGUUAGUUCUAGCUCAUCGACAGAUCUAGCCUGUUAUCCAGCACGUUCUGAAAAAAUGGCAUCAAUAAACAGAGCUGUCCUUCUUUUUAUAGUUCGUGGAAUGCACCCACUCUCUAUGGUAGACAACAGCCAUUUUAUCAAUCUCGUCAAAGUGUUGGAUCCUCGCAUCGAAUUACCA